RNAcentral lists this unclassified non-coding RNA (328 nucleotides) under soil metagenome. Its description in RNAcentral is "partial contains 5.8S ribosomal RNA, internal transcribed spacer 2, and large subunit ribosomal RNA". The stretch from base 1 to 120 matches the Rfam family "5.8S ribosomal RNA", at positions 35 to 154 of the family's 154-position model. The record is from RNAcentral.
GAUGAAGAACGUAGCGAAAUGCGAUAAGUAAUGUGAAUUGCAGAAUUCAGUGAAUCAUCGAAUCUUUGAACGCACAUUGCGCCCCCUGGUAUUCCGGGGGGCAUGCCUGUCCGAGCGUCAUUACAACCCUCAAGCUCAGCUUGGUGUUGGGCCCCGCCGCCCCGGCGGGCCCUAAAGUCAGUGGCGGUGCCGUCCGGCUCCGAGCGUAGUAAUUCUUCUCGCUCUGGAGUCCUGGUGGAUGCUUGCCAUCAACCCCCAAUUUUUCUAUGGUUGACCUCGGAUCAGGUAGGGAUACCCGCUGAACUUAAGCAUAUCAAUAAGCGGAGGA